RNAcentral lists this ribosomal RNA (195 nucleotides) under uncultured fungus. RNAcentral's name for it is "partial 18S ribosomal RNA". The stretch from base 47 to 195 matches the Rfam family "Eukaryotic small subunit ribosomal RNA", at positions 739 to 887 of the family's 1831-position model. The record is from RNAcentral. Lineage: Eukaryota; Fungi.
UUCUCACCUUCUGGAGAAUCACGAUGCUCUUAAUUGGGUGUCGUGUGGAUCCAGGACCUUUACCUUGAAAAAAUUAGAGUGUUUAAAGCAGGCAUUUUGCUCGAAUACAUUAGCAUGGAAUAAUAAAAUAGGACGGCUUGGUUCUAUUUUGUUGGUUUCUAGGAUCACCGUAAUGAUUAAUAGGGAUAGUUGGGA